RNAcentral lists this ribosomal RNA (670 nucleotides) under uncultured bacterium. RNAcentral's name for it is "bacterial SSU rRNA". It matches the Rfam family "Bacterial small subunit ribosomal RNA", at positions 9 to 694 of the family's 1533-position model. The record is from RNAcentral.
GAGUUUGAUCCUGGCUCAGGAUGAACGCUGGCGGCGUGCUUAACACAUGCAAGUCGAGCGAUGAAGUUUCCUUCGGGAAACGGAUUAGCGGCGGACGGGUGAGUAACACGUGGGUAACCUGCCUCAUAGAGUGGAAUAGCCUUCCGAAAGGAAGAUUAAUACCGCAUAAUGUUGAAAGAUGGCAUCAUCAUUUAACCAAAGGAGCAAUCCGCUAUGAGAUGGACCCGCGGCGCAUUAGCUAGUUGGUGGGGUAACGGCCUACCAAGGCGACGAUGCGUAGCCGACCUGAGAGGGUGAUCGGCCACAUUGGGACUGAGACACGGCCCAGACUCCUACGGGAGGCAGCAGUGGGGAAUAUUGCACAAUGGGGGAAACCCUGAUGCAGCAACGCCGCGUGAGUGAUGAAGGUUUUCGGAUCGUAAAGCUCUGUCUUUGGGGAAGAUAAUGACGGUACCCAAGGAGGAAGCCACGGCUAACUACGUGCCAGCAGCCGCGGUAAUACGUAGGUGGCGAGCGUUAUCCGGAUUUACUGGGCGUAAAGGGAGCGUAGGCGGAUGAUUAAGUGGGAUGUGAAAUACCCGGGCUCAACUUGGGUGCUGCAUUCCAAACUGGUUAUCUAGAGUGCAGGAGAGGAGAGUGGAAUUCCUAGUGUAGCGGUGAAAUGCGUAGA